Molecule: transfer RNA, 76 nt
Filed under: Bifidobacterium callitrichos
Lineage: Bacteria; Bacillati; Actinomycetota; Actinomycetes; Bifidobacteriales; Bifidobacteriaceae
Also listed under: 6 other names
Description: tRNA-Ala
Rfam family: tRNA
About the family: Transfer RNA (tRNA) molecules are approximately 80 nucleotides in length. Their secondary structure includes four short double-helical elements and three loops (D, anti-codon, and T loops).
Source: RNAcentral
GGGGCAUUGGCGCAGCUGGUAGCGCAUCUGCUUUGCAAGCAGAGGGUCGCCGGUUCGAACCCGGCAUGCUCCACUA